This 536-nucleotide ribosomal RNA is filed under the name uncultured Microbacterium sp. Its description in RNAcentral is "bacterial SSU rRNA". It matches the Rfam family "Bacterial small subunit ribosomal RNA", at positions 1003 to 1533 of the family's 1533-position model. Lineage: Bacteria; Bacillati; Actinomycetota; Actinomycetes; Micrococcales; Microbacteriaceae. The record is from RNAcentral.
GAAAUAGGGAACUCUUUGGACACUCGUGAACAGGUGGUGCAUGGUUGUCGUCAGCUCGUGUCGUGAGAUGUUGGGUUAAGUCCCGCAACGAGCGCAACCCUCGUUCUAUGUUGCCAGCACGUAAUGGUGGGAACUCAUGGGAUACUGCCGGGGUCAACUCGGAGGAAGGUGGGGAUGACGUCAAAUCAUCAUGCCCCUUAUGUCUUGGGCUUCACGCAUGCUACAAUGGCCGGUACAAAGGGCUGCAAUACCGUAAGGUGGAGCGAAUCCCAAAAAGCCGGUCCCAGUUCGGAUUGAGGUCUGCAACUCGACCUCAUGAAGUCGGAGUCGCUAGUAAUCGCAGAUCAGCAACGCUGCGGUGAAUACGUUCCCGGGUCUUGUACACACCGCCCGUCAAGUCAUGAAAGUCGGUAACACCUGAAGCCGGUGGCCCAACCCUUGUGGAGGGAGCCGUCGAAGGUGGGAUCGGUAAUUAGGACUAAGUCGUAACAAGGUAGCCGUACCGGAAGGUGCGGCUGGAUCACCUCCUUUCUGAG